Molecule: ribosomal RNA, 452 nt
Filed under: uncultured bacterium
Lineage: Bacteria
Description: bacterial SSU rRNA
Rfam family: Bacterial small subunit ribosomal RNA
Source: RNAcentral
GGAGUAGCAAUACUCAGAUGGCGACCGGCGCACGGGGUGAGUAACACGUAUCCAACCUGCCGCUUACUCGGGGAUAGCCUUUCGAAAGAAAGAUUAAUACCCGAUGGUAUAAAGAGUUCGCAUGUUCUCUUUAUUAAAGAAUUUCGGUAAGCGAUGGGGAUGCGUUCCAUUAGAUAGUUGGCGGGGUAACGGCCCACCAAGUCUACGAUGGAUAGGGGUUCUGAGAGGAAGGUCCCCCACAUUGGAACUGAGACACGGUCCAAACUCCUACGGGAGGCAGCAGUGAGGAAAUAUUGGUCAAUGGACGAGAGUCUGAACCAGCCAAGGUAAGCGUGAAGGAUGACUGCCCUAUGGGUUGUAAACUUCUUUUAUAAGGGAAUAAAGUGAGGGACGUGUCCCUUUUUGUAUGUACCUUAUGAAUAAGGAUCGGCUAACUCCGUGCCAGCCGCCGC